CAGUAGCCGCGGUAAUACGAAGGGGGCUAGCGUUGCUCGGAAUGACUGGGCGUAAAGGGCGCGUAGGCGGCGAUCAAAGUCAGGCGUGAAAUUCCUGGGCUCAACCUGGGGGCUGCGCUUGAUACUUGGUUGCUUGAGUGGGGAAGAGGGUCGUGGAAUUCCCAGUGUAGAGGUGAAAUUCGUAGAUAUUGGGAGGAACACCGGUGGCGAAGGCGGCGACCUGGUCCUUGACUGACGCUGAGGCGCGAAAGCGUGGGGAGCAAACAGGAUUAGAUACCCCUGUAGUCCCUGUCUCUUAUAC
RNAcentral lists this ribosomal RNA (301 nucleotides) under uncultured bacterium. RNAcentral describes it as "partial 16S ribosomal RNA". It matches the Rfam family "Bacterial small subunit ribosomal RNA", at positions 509 to 807 of the family's 1533-position model. The record is from RNAcentral.